Molecule: non-coding RNA, 526 nt
Organism: Cherax quadricarinatus
Lineage: Eukaryota; Metazoa; Arthropoda; Malacostraca; Decapoda; Parastacidae
Source: RefSeq, a predicted model, not a curated record
GUUGACUGAAGAAGAGCAGGUGAAGAUUGCCAAACCAUGGGGUUAAUAACACACCUACCUUGGGAAUUUUCGAUGGCUCUAAGAAGAGUGGAGAAUGUGUUAUCUGCAUGAUAGACUUCACCGUUGGUGAUCGAGUGCGCUAUCUGCCAUGUAUGCAUACGUACCACACAGAGUGCAUUGAUGAUUGGUUAAUGCGCUCUUUUACCUGCCCAUCAUGCUUAGAACCUGUGGAUGCAGCUCUGCUUAAUACAUAUGGGACGACCUAGCCAUGUGCAGCUAUUAGGAAGGGUUUGCUCAGGAUUUUCUUUCAUUUGUUCCUGACCAACAGGUGAUAUUGGUACACUGUUUUUAGAGGUUACUUAAUUGCACUAUAAAUGUGAUGGUUAUCUGUCACUUAUUUUGUAGGUGAUGCUUUUUGUUAAGUUAAGGUCAAUAUAAAUUGGUCAUUACCCAAUAAAAAUAAAUAUUUUUGUUCAUAGUGUACAGUCCUGGAAAACCUGUUACAAUUAAAGAUUCUUAGAUAUCA